AUGUCGUUUAUUUAUGCAGAAUCAGACAACAAUCCCGUACGAAAACCCAAAGUGACGGUCUACUCAGCGUCCAACCCUGAUUCGAAUGGCAAGACCACCCUGCUAUGUCUGGCUAGAGACAUGUUUCCAGACUUGGUCAAGAUCUCAUGGAAGAUGGAAGAUGCAAACGGCCGAACAGUGGAGGUGCCCAAAGCAGAGACGGAAGUGCUGGAGCAGAGGGAGGAAGGACAGACGACCAGUAUGAUCAUCAUCGAUAAAGAGAAGGCGUGCAAGAACAAAUACAGAUGUUUUGUGGAGCAUGAAGGGGACCAUCAAGAUGUUGACAUGCUAAAAGAUUACUUCCCCUUCAUGUGCAGUCUGAACCUGGCCUCUCUGGUUUAUACAGUGAUGAUAGUGAAGAGCAUGGUGUACUGCUGUGGGCUCUCUCUCCUGCUGCACCACAGGAACAUGGGGAAGUGGACAAAAUGCCUGUAGAAAGGAUACCCUCCAGUAUGGAUAGAGUUGUAGUAGGCUGGGAAUAACAUGGAUUUUACAUCCCAUUGAGGUCUAAUAUCUCAUUUGUAGUCUAUUGCUUUUAUUUUUUCAGUUUUGUUUUUUAAGAUGCUAAAAUAUUGUGAGCCAUAGAUUUCCAUGUCUUCAACUGCCAAAUAUGACAUUAAUUGCAGAA
Coregonus clupeaformis (lake whitefish) is the source of this 667-nucleotide non-coding RNA. Lineage: Eukaryota; Metazoa; Chordata; Actinopteri; Salmoniformes; Salmonidae. The record is from the annotation of a RefSeq genome assembly.